AAACAUGCUUUGAUCCGGAGGUGUCCGAAUGGGGAAACCCACCCAAUUUAUUGGGUAUCACUUACUGAAUACAUAGGUAAGUGAGGCGAACGCGGAGAACUGAAACAUCUAAGUACCCGUAGGAAAAGAAAUCAACCGAGAUUCCCAAAGUAGCGGCGAGCGAAAUGGGAUUAGCCCUUAAGUUACAGUGGAUUUAGCAGAACGCUCUGGAAAGUGCGGCAAUAGAGGGUGAUAGCCCCGUAUGCGAAAGUGAUGAUGAAGGACUAGAGUAGGGCGGGACACGUGAAAUCCUGUCUGAACAUGGGGGGACCACCCUCCAAGCCUAAAUACUCGUACAUGACCGAUAGCGAACACAGUACCGUGAGGGAAAGGUGAAAAGCACCCCGAU
RNAcentral lists this ribosomal RNA (388 nucleotides) under Dinophysis acuminata. Its description in RNAcentral is "partial Bacterial large subunit ribosomal RNA". It matches the Rfam family "Bacterial large subunit ribosomal RNA", at positions 90 to 530 of the family's 2925-position model. Lineage: Eukaryota; Dinophyceae; Dinophysales; Dinophysaceae. The record is from RNAcentral.